Molecule: long non-coding RNA, 617 nt
Filed under: Ananas comosus (pineapple)
Lineage: Eukaryota; Viridiplantae; Streptophyta; Magnoliopsida; Poales; Bromeliaceae
Description: long non-coding RNA (ACOM_LNC041982)
Source: RNAcentral
UCUAACUUGGAUUAAUAUUAUGGAAAAACUUCAAAAACCCCCUCCCAGUGGUUUUGUAGUUUCUCACUUUGCCCCCAUGUGGUUUAAAAUGUAUUAAUUUGCCUCCAUGUGGUUUCUUUUUUCUCUUUUUCUUAUCAAUUUUAUUAUUAUUUUUUCUUAAAUCAGUGAUAAAGUUAAAAUUAAAGAGUACUAAAGUGAAUAUUUGAUAAAUCUAGAUAGGUAUCUAAAGUUUUUUGUAUAUAAUUUAAUGAAAUAUUAACGAAAAAGCUACCGAAAAUAUAAAAAUGAAACCACAUGGAGGCAAUUUGAUAUAUUUUAAACCACAGGGAGGCAAAGUGAGAAACUACAAAACCACAAGGAGGGGUUUUUGAAGUUUUUCCAUAUUAUUCUAUCAACCAUCCAUUAAAUUCUAAAGGAACAGACAACCUCUAAACCUCUAAACCUCUAAACCGUGGAGAGACCACCACUAAACCGUAGAGAUCACUAUCAUUUCAAUUCUAUAAUUUUUCAUUCAAAAAUUAUAAAUUAAUAAUAAAAAGAUCUAAAUAUUAUUAAUAAUAUUUCAGCACAAAUAGUUACAAAAUAAAAAAUUAUAAUUUAAAAAUUAUGUAAAUAUA